This 1022-nucleotide ribosomal RNA is filed under the name uncultured bacterium. RNAcentral describes it as "bacterial SSU rRNA". It matches the Rfam family "Bacterial small subunit ribosomal RNA", at positions 8 to 987 of the family's 1533-position model. The record is from RNAcentral.
AGAGUUUGAUCCUGGCUCAGGACGAACUUCUGGCGGCGUGCCUAAUACAUGCAAGUCGAACGCACUCUCGUUUAGAUUGAAGGAGCUUGCUCCUGAUUGAUAAACAUUUGAGUGAGUGGCGGACGGGUGAGUAACACGUGGGUAACCUGCCCUAAAGUGGGGGAUAACAUUUGGAAACAGAUGCUAAUACCGCAUAAAACCUAACACCGCAUGGUGUAGGGUUGAAAGAUGGUUUCGGCUAUCACUUUAGGAUGGACCCGCGGUGCAUUAGUUAGUUGGUGAGGUAAAGGCUCACCAAGACCGUGAUGCAUAGCCGACCUGAGAGGGUAAUCGGCCACACUGGGACUGAGACACGGCCCAGACUCCUACGGGAGGCAGCAGUAGGGAAUCUUCCACAAUGGACGAAAGUCUGAUGGAGCAACGCCGCGUGAGUGAAGAAGGUUUUCGGAUCGUAAAACUCUGUUGUUGGAGAAGAAUGUAUCUGAUAGUAACUGAUCAGGUAGUGACGGUAUCCAACCAGAAAGCCACGGCUAACUACGUGCCAGCAGCCGCGGUAAUACGUAGGUGGCAAGCGUUGUCCGGAUUUAUUGGGCGUAAAGCGAGCGCAGGCGGUUUCUUAAGUCUGAUGUGAAAGCCUUCGGCUCAACCGAAGAAGUGCAUCGGAAACUGGGAAACUUGAGUGCAGAAGAGGACAGUGGAACUCCAUGUGUAGCGGUGAAAUGCGUAGAUAUAUGGAAGAACACCAGUGGCGAAGGCGGCUGUCUGGUCUGUAACUGACGCUGAGGCUCGAAAGCAUGGGUAGCAAACAGGAUUAGAUACCCUGGUAGUCCAUGCCGUAAACGAUGAGUGCUAGGUGUUGGAGGGUUUCCGCCCUUCAGUGCCGCAGCUAACGCAUUAAGCACUCCGCCUGGGGAGUACGACCGCAAGGUUGAAACUCAAAGGAAUUGACGGGGGCCCGCACAAGCAGCGGAGCAUGUGGCUUAAUUCGAAGCAACGCGAAGAACCUUACCAGGGCUUGACAU